This 378-nucleotide unclassified non-coding RNA is filed under the name uncultured bacterium. RNAcentral's name for it is "contains 16S-23S intergenic spacer region". The record is from RNAcentral.
UCCUAGUUAACCUAGGCAGUCUCAUUAGAGUUCCCACCAUUACGUGUUGGCAACUAAUGAUAAGGGUUGCGCUCGUUGCUGGACUUAACCAAACACCUCACGGCACGAGCUGACGACAGCCAUGCAGCACCUGUUCACAGGCCCCGAAGGGCGAUAACAUCUCUGCGAUCUUCCUGUGUAUGUCAAGCCUGGGUAAGGUUCUUCGCGUUGCAUCGAAUUAAACCACAUGCUCCACCGCUUGUGCGGGCCCCCGUCAAUUCCUUUGAGUUUCAACCUUGCGGUCGUACUCCCCAGGCGGGGUACUUCCUGCGUUAGCGCCGGCACCCAGAGGGUCGCUCCCCCAGGCACCUAGUACCCAUCGUUUACGGCGUGGACUAC